RNAcentral lists this ribosomal RNA (59 nucleotides) under Debaryomyces hansenii var. hansenii. RNAcentral's name for it is "partial 28S ribosomal RNA". The record is from RNAcentral. Lineage: Eukaryota; Fungi; Ascomycota; Pichiomycetes; Serinales; Debaryomycetaceae.
UUGACCUCAAAUCAGUGGAAUACUACCCGCUGAACUUAAGCAUAUCAAUAAGCGGAGGA